AUCACUGCAGGCGUUGUUUUUCAAUUUUUUCAGUGAAAUAAAACAGCGCUUAGGUACCUAAGUGAAAACAUUAUAGUAGUAAGAAUCAUACUCAGGUAGAGGGAUCAUUGUAUAGCUGAUCUUUGUCAAACCUGAAAUUGACUUUAUUACACACGUUGAAAAAUGGCAGCGAAAGUUUUUGGCGCAUCUCUGUUGUUUUCGUAUCUUUUUCUAUGCAUAAUGUCUAACAACUGUAGCUACAAGAAUAUAACUGAAGACGAAUAUAAUAACUUCAAAGGGGUAGACGUUACAACGACUUGCGGAUGUGUUAAAUCUAUGCAAGACAUGUGCCUUAAGAUUGACAAAUUUUUAGGAAUCUCACACGAUAAUGAAGCCUUUAAAAGCGGGUAUCCAAAAUGCGAAACCAAAAAGAUUCAGUUACAAAAAAGCAAGACCCCAGGCUCAGAACUAGUUUUUAAGGACGUUCAAAUGCUCCUCUGUUCUUGGCCAAGCAAUUGUGUCGAUGCAUUUUACUACACUAAGGGUCAAGGUCCGAAUCACGUGAUGAAUUACAACUGUGAUCCUAGCAGUUGUCUUCCUUACAAUGAUAUAAAGAUUCAGCAAUAAUUUUAUUUUAUUCUUAGGUACCUACUACCUGCCUAUAGUUUCCGCCUGUAACUAAUUUAGUAAUUUUGGUUCAUUUUCUUAUUGUAUUAGGUUCACUAAUAAUAAAAUUGCAUUUAUUUUACUCACAA
This is a long non-coding RNA of Planococcus citri (citrus mealybug), 734 nucleotides long. RefSeq lists it as uncharacterized. The record is from RefSeq and is a predicted model, not a curated record. The transcript is spliced from 2 exons. NCBI's taxonomy places the organism in Eukaryota, Metazoa, Arthropoda, Insecta, Hemiptera, Pseudococcidae.